UAUAAUUAACACGUGCUUUCCAUGCGUCUUAUGUCAAUUUUCAUAUACGUUUAUCAAUCUUUGAAAAAUCUGCCUAAAUUUUCGACAGACUUUUUUUUAUGGUAACUUAGUUAAACAGGAAUAAUUAAAAAGUAAAAAAUAAUUAAUAUUAUAUAGAAUAGCUGACUCGCUGCAAGUUAUUUGCUUACUUUUGUUUUUUACAAUGUGCGACGAAGCAUUGUUUUAUAUUUCUUUUGAUUUCUUCAAAGGCCAAAGUAUUCUCCUUUGUAUUCUCGUGUAUGUCUCACAUCUUCAGCCCUUGUUUCAGACGACGAGUUCUGAAGCCACCUUUUCGACUACUGUCUAUUUCUACCAAUUUAAAUUAACUUUACUCUCGGUUCAACUUAUAUUUAUCUUCUUUUUAGUCGCGAGAAUUAAUAAAGUUUGAUAGUUAGUCCAGUUUUAAAGUUACGCUGCAUUGAUGGAAAUGUACAUAAAAUUUGUAAACUGUACUCUUCUUCCUCCCAAGAAUAUUAACUUCGAACUGUAUAGAGAAUGUAGGUCCAUUGUCGACAGCAAACUCGCAAAUUUCGAUCGCCAAUCUCGAAAGCGUCAUGCGUAGAACUUGUAUCACUAGCGCGUAUAUAUUUCAAAAAGGUCGUAUCGAUUUUUUCCUCAGUAUCCCGAACAGCAAAUUUGCAUACAAUUUCACCCCGAGGUGAGCGCAAGUUUUCUAUGUACACAUCGAGUAUGUCGAGCGAAUCCCGUUACGAAUGAAUCUUUUAUGCUGCGUCGCGGUUAACGGAUAGGAAGUUUGAGCUCCCGUAGUUGCGGGACACGUAACAAGGUGUUACGUUUGUAAGGCGUCAUCGUUUCGCGCCACAAGAUAAAUUUCCUCUCGCGCCUCUUCGUAUCCGCAGAUACCAAUUUUCGCUUUUAUCAACGUGAUUUUUUUCCGCGAGAUAUUUUUCUCACUUAAAUUACAAUAAAUUCACACGCAGCUGAAUAACAGUGCGACUUCUUUGCGGUCGUUCGCGCCCGAAGAAGAUCUCGACUCCGAUUUGCGAAUGUAGAAAACAGGGGGAAUAAUACUCGAGGCUUUUCUUCAAAGUUCGAAAAUACCUUCAAAAUUUUAAGCAACGAAAUACGAGAAGCGCGAGAAUCUAUCUAGCUCGCUCACCCCUCUUUAUUCUUCCGCGGCGCGGCGGCGCGAUCGGUCUUCUCUUACCGCUGUUCUUUCCUUUCGUGCUCGCGAUUCUCGGUACUGUUGAACAUACUAUGUACAAUAUAUCACAUUUCGCAUGCCGAGCUCCCAUAUCAACGGUACUCAAUCGGGUUUCCUCUUCAGACAGCUAGUUGCGCUUCACGCGAGAGCCUCACCAUUACCGUCGUCGCUAAACCGCAAUCGAUCGCAAAGUACACCGCCGCAGGUGGUAAACAUAAAAAAAUUAUCAUGUAGUGCAGUGUAGCAUUCCAGUAUUUACGAUUAUUGUAAUUGCAAAUUAUGAGAGACUCAUAGACGAUUUGCGAUAAUUUCUUGGAUUUGCGGCGCCCGUUGAUAGUUUUACUUUGCAACUUCUUACAGCGCGGGAAUACAUUGCGUAAAUCGUUAAAUUUACUGACGCUCGGUGAUACUGAUCAAAGGUAAAAUAUACGAAAAGCGCAUAGUUGGUGCAACAAAAGAAUAAAAGUAUUUAAAGGGUACAGUAUUAAAAGAUGUUGAGAUUUCUCUGAAAAAUAAAGAAGAGGAAAGAGAGGAAAAAGGAGAAAAUUUAUUCAAAGAUAUCGUAAAAAGUGUAAUUAUCGAAAAUACUUCUCAAACACCCAUUCAAUUGUUUGAGAUGAAACUUAGACAACAUUAAAAAGCAUUACAUUUUAUUUAAUGAGGAAAAUUAUGAUUCAUUUGGAGAUACAUUCAACAUUUUUUCAAUAACUUUUGUUUGAGUUUUCGUCGAAUUUCAGCAAAAUAUUUCCAUCGGGGUAUUUAGUAAAUUAAAGAAAUCCAAAGUGAAAACUUGACAGUGAUAUUGCCAGGAGAACCAAGACAGUAAAAUGUAGGUUACAUGUAUAUCUUCUACUUUGUCUAUAUACAUAUGUAUAUAGUAUUAAAUACAAAUUUAAUAUAUGAAAUUGAAUGUAUUAUUUGCAUAAUAUAACGUUUAUUCUCGCGUUCUUAUUUAAAAGAGUUGUAGCAACAACUGUAAUAAAAAAAGCACACGGAGAGCAUUUUCUCUCAAUAUAUUUAUCCUGAAAAUUAUGUGGUCGUGGGAUAACAUGGGUUUUUGAAGAGCUUUAUGAGAGUUUUUCGAAAUUUUACCAGUAAAAUGUAACUAAGUA
This is a long non-coding RNA of Vollenhovia emeryi, 2316 nucleotides long. RefSeq lists it as uncharacterized. NCBI's taxonomy places the organism in Eukaryota, Metazoa, Arthropoda, Insecta, Hymenoptera, Formicidae. The record is from RefSeq and is a predicted model, not a curated record. The transcript has 3 exons.